CAGUACUGCUCAGCAGCAGUUAGCUAAAGAACGAGGAAGAAAUGUCUACGCCAUCUUUGAUUUAACGCUCGCCGUUUAAACUUACAGAGCAAACAACCACCUUUCCAUCAGUCAGUGUUAUAUUUUAUCAUUAACUUCUUAUUUAUCUUUCUUAAAUUACUCCGGCAGUGAAUUAAAUUAACUCCUAAUAGAUUGAAAUGUUCAGAUUCUGCUGAGAAGCGUCAACGAGCGUUGGCUAGCUGCCUGGACGCUACUUUCCCAGCACCGAGCUUUCCCAGUCGAGGCACAUCAUGUGGUGAUGGAUAUCAGCCAGGACCGGGACAGAGAGUGCAAUGAGUUUGGAGAGUACAGAUGAAGACGGAGGACAUCAGAAGGGAAGAAUUUAGAAGAAAAGGGGAGAAAAGGGAGGUCAGGUAUGUAAACAAAGGAAGUGAAGUAGAUGGAGAUGUUCAUGAGGAAAGUUGUGUGAAGUUUCGUGAGUCAAAGUAGAUGGGAGACGAUGAAGGAAUGAGAUAAAGCUGAGAAAAAAAACAAGCCCUGGUUCCCAUACUUUCUCUGCUUUUCACCUUAUUUUAUGUCCAUGUGUUUUGUUUUUCUAAAAACCACCAAAAAAAAGUUCAAUAAAAGUGCAGCUCUGGUUUUAUCGUUUUCACCCCUCCUUCUUCUUGCAUCCUACUGCUCUGCCCCCUCCACCCUCACACUGCCUCUCACUCUGCACUCAUUCUUUUAUUCUCCUGUAGCCUUUCCUCUUCGCCCCGAGUCAACGAUUGUUGUUCACUUUGGCA
Molecule: long non-coding RNA, 785 nt
Organism: Seriola aureovittata
Lineage: Eukaryota; Metazoa; Chordata; Actinopteri; Carangiformes; Carangidae
Exons: 3
Source: RefSeq, a predicted model, not a curated record